This 506-nucleotide ribosomal RNA is filed under the name uncultured bacterium. RNAcentral's name for it is "partial 16S ribosomal RNA". It matches the Rfam family "Bacterial small subunit ribosomal RNA", at positions 29 to 523 of the family's 1533-position model. The record is from RNAcentral.
AGUGAACGCUGGCGGUAGGCCUAACACAUGCAAGUCGAACGGCAGCACAGGAGAGCUUGCUCUCUGGGUGGCGAGUGGCGGACGGGUGAGGAAUACAUCGGAAUCUACUCUGUCGUGGGGGAUAACGUAGGGAAACUUACGCUAAUACCGCAUACGACCUACGGGUGAAAGCAGGGGAUCUUCGGACCUUGCGCGAUUGAAUGAGCCGAUGUCGGAUUAGCUAGUUGGCGGGGUAAAGGCCCACCAAAGCGACGAUCCGUAGCCGGUCUGAGAGGAUGAUCAGCCACACUGGAACUGAGGCACGGUCCAGACUCCUACGGGAGGCAGCAGUGGGGAAUAUUGGACAAUGGGCGCAAGCCUGAUCCAGCCAUACCGCGUGGGUGAAGAAGGCCUUCGGGUUGUAAAGCCCUUUUGUUGGGAAAGAAAUCCAGCUGGCUAAUACCCGGUUGGGAUGACGGUACCCAAAGAAUAAGCACCGGCUAACUUCGUGCCAGCAGCCGCCGUAA